ACGGGAACAGAAUGAUUCGGCAGAAUGCCGGAAUAUCGAUUCCGGGUUGUAGCAGUGAAUUUUACAUGAAAAUUUUCCAGGCCAUUUGUUUUGCUGAAGCUCAGGAGCAGACAACAAGGCAUUAGACAUUUCCUGCAGCAGGACAAUCACUCACUUUCUACUGCUUAUCCGAACUACCCAGGUCACGGGGAGCCUGUGUCUCAGGCGUCAU
Molecule: long non-coding RNA, 211 nt
Organism: Tachysurus fulvidraco (yellow catfish)
Lineage: Eukaryota; Metazoa; Chordata; Actinopteri; Siluriformes; Bagridae
Exons: 3
Source: RefSeq, a predicted model, not a curated record